RNAcentral lists this ribosomal RNA (532 nucleotides) under uncultured bacterium. RNAcentral's name for it is "bacterial SSU rRNA". It matches the Rfam family "Bacterial small subunit ribosomal RNA", at positions 777 to 1308 of the family's 1533-position model. The record is from RNAcentral.
AAUAGAUACCCAGGUAGUCCACGCCGUAAACGAUGUCGACUUGGAGGUUGUUCCCUUGAGGAGUGGCUUCCGGAGCUAACGCGUUAAGUCGACCGCCUGGGGAGUACGGCCGCAAGGUUAAAACUCAAAUGAAUUGACGGGGGGCCCGCACAAGCGGUGGAGCAUGUGGUUUAAUUCGAUGCAACGCGAAGAACCUUACCUACUCUUGACAUCCAGAGAACUUAGCAGAGAUGCUUUGGUGCCUUCGGGAACUCUGAGACAGGUGCUGCAUGGCUGUCGUCAGCUCGUGUUGUGAAAUGUUGGGUUAAGUCCCGCAACGAGCGCAACCCUUAUCCUUUGUUGCCAGCGGUCCGGCCGGGAACUCAAAGGAGACUGCCAGUGAUAAACUGGAGGAAGGUGGGGAUGACGUCAAGUCAUCAUGGCCCUUACGAGUAGGGCUACACACGUGCUACAAUGGCGUAUACAAAGAGAAGCGACCUCGCGAGAGCAAGCGGACCUCAUAAAGUACGUCGUAGUCCGGAUUGGAGUCUGC